RNAcentral lists this non-coding RNA (27 nucleotides) under Mus musculus (house mouse). Lineage: Eukaryota; Metazoa; Chordata; Mammalia; Rodentia; Muridae. The record is from RNAcentral.
UAGAGAGUUAGGGUGGGAGCAUGAGUU